CCUACGGGUGGCUGCAGUGGGGAAUAUUGGACAAUGGGGAGAACCCUGAUCCAGCCAUGCCGCGUGUGUGAAGAAGGCCCUCGGGUUGUAAAGCACUUUCAGUGAGGAAGAACGCCUGGUGGUUAAUACCCAUCAGGAAAGACAUCACUCACAGAAGAAGCACCGGCUAACUCCGUGCCAGCAGCCGCGGUAAUACGGAGGGUGCGAGCGUUAAUCGGAAUUACUGGGCGUAAAGCGCGCGUAGGUGGCUUGAUAAGCCGGUUGUGAAAGCCCCGGGCUCAACCUGGGAACGGCAUCCGGAACUGUCAAGCUAGAGUGUAGGAGAGGAAGGUAGAAUUCCCGGUGUAGCGGUGAAAUGCGUAGAGAUCGGGAGGAAUACCAGUGGCGAAGGCGGCCUUCUGGACUGACACUGACACUGAGGUGCGAAAGCGUGGGUAGCAAACAGGAUUAGAUACCCCGGUAGUC
Molecule: ribosomal RNA, 465 nt
Filed under: Vreelandella stevensii
Lineage: Bacteria; Pseudomonadati; Pseudomonadota; Gammaproteobacteria; Oceanospirillales; Halomonadaceae
Description: partial 16S ribosomal RNA
Rfam family: Bacterial small subunit ribosomal RNA
Source: RNAcentral